Molecule: long non-coding RNA, 999 nt
Organism: Oncorhynchus tshawytscha (Chinook salmon)
Lineage: Eukaryota; Metazoa; Chordata; Actinopteri; Salmoniformes; Salmonidae
Source: Ensembl
AAAAACACAAUGUUGAUGCAAAACAGAAGCACCUGGUAAAUAAAAGGGUAAACGUAGCCAAAUGAAGGACUCCGCAUGCUAGUGUUACAAAAUGAGCAAAUAAGAGAAGUGCACAACAACCAAACAGGAAAAAAAUAUCAAUCUACAUACCUUGGCCAACCGCUCACAGGCCGACCGCUCACAGGCCGACCGCUCACCACAGGCCGACCGCUCACCACAGGCCGACCGCUCACCACAGGCCGACCGCUCACAGGCCGACCGCUCACAGGCCGACCGCUCACCACAGGCCGACCGCUCACCACAGGCCGACCGCUCACCACAGGCCGACCGCUCACAGGCCGACCGCUCACAGGCCGACCGCUCACCACAGGCCGACCGCUCACCACAGGCCGACCGCUCACCACAGGCCGACCGCUGACACAGGCCGACCGCUCACCACAGGCAAACCGCUCACCACAGGCAAACAGCUCACCACAGGCCAACCUCUCACAGGCAAAUGCACCUCUGAGUGGUCUGCUCUGUUUGGUUGAGAGAUAACUAAUAACUGCAUGUAAUUUAAAGGGAUAGCCCUAUCUCUUUCAGGUGGUGGCGAUCUAGUUGAUUAGUUGUGUGUGUUGAAACCAUGAUCUUACGGUCAUAUCCCGUUGAGUAUUGUUGGUCUAUUGCCCUUUCAUUUUUUUUUAAUCUUCCUUUUUUUAUGGGAUGUUUAGGGAUCAAACUAAAUGUGUUCUUACAGUUUCAAUGUAUAUAAUAUUACUAUCAUGUCUGUGUUGUGAAACAUAGGUCAAUUCAUGGUGUUUUUAAAAUAACCCAUGAAGGAUAUUUAACCGAUUCUAUUCUGUACCUUUGUACCUUGCAUGCAUGUAAGAAAAUAGAACACCAACUAUUUGAUUGAGAUUUUCAUUGCCGUUUUGUUAAACCAAAGUAUUUAUUCUAAGGAGAAUUUGAUUUAUUUAUGCUGUCUGCUGUCUAAAGAUGGCGCCAACAUAGAGGGCCGCC